RNAcentral lists this ribosomal RNA (435 nucleotides) under uncultured bacterium. Its description in RNAcentral is "partial 16S ribosomal RNA". It matches the Rfam family "Bacterial small subunit ribosomal RNA", at positions 29 to 507 of the family's 1533-position model. The record is from RNAcentral.
AACGAACGCUGGCGACAGGCUUAACACAUGCAAGUCGAACGCAUGCCUUCGGGCAUGAGUGGCAGACGGGUGAGUAACGCGUGGGAACCUACCCCUUGGUACGGGAUAGCUCCGGGAAACUGGAGAUAAUACCGUAUGUGUCCUGAGGGACAAAGAUUCAUCGCCAAGGGAUGGGCCCGCGUCGGAUUAGCUAGUUGGUGGGGUAACGGCCUACCAAGGCGACGAUCCGUAGCUGGUCUAAGAGGAUGAUCAGCCACAUUGGGACUGAGACACGGCCCAAACUCCUACGGGAGGCAGCAGUGGGGAAUAUUGGACAAUGGGCGCAAGCCUGAUCCAGCCAUGCCGCGUGAGUGAUGAAGGCCCUAGGGUUGUAAAGCUCUUUCACCGGUGACGAUAAUGACGGUAACCGGAGAAGAAGCCCCGGCUAACUUCGUG